RNAcentral lists this ribosomal RNA (253 nucleotides) under uncultured bacterium. Its description in RNAcentral is "partial 16S ribosomal RNA". It matches the Rfam family "Bacterial small subunit ribosomal RNA", at positions 524 to 776 of the family's 1533-position model. The record is from RNAcentral.
UACGUAGGUGGCAAGCGUUGUCCGGAUUUACUGGGCGUAAAGGGCGUGCAGGCGGUUUGGUAAGUGCAGAGUGAAAGCUCCCGGCUCAACUGGGAGAGGUCUUUGCAUACUGGCAAACUCGAGGGAGGCAGAGGAAAGUGGAAUUCCCGGUGUAGUGGUGAUAUGCGUAGAUAUCGGGAGGAACACCUGUGGCGAAGGCGGCUUUCUGGGCCUUACCUGACGCUGAGACGCGAAAGCGUGGGUAGCGAACAGG